GUUUGGAAAAUUGGGGGUGGGGAGGUGCGAGGCCACCUCUAAGUUUGUGGUGUGGUAUUGGUGGGCUGCUCAGUCUUUGGCGUGCUGUGGUGGUCUUUCUCCACUGCUAGCUCUUGUAGCUCUGGCCCCCUGCCUGGCACCAUGCUGCUGUCAUGGCCAGUUUGGUGGGGCGGUAGAGGGAACCUCCUCCUGGGUCCCAGGGGCUCAUUGCCCCUCUGGGGUAUCCGUACCUGGACCUGGGAGUAUAGAGUGUGUAUGGGGAGUUCAAUUUGGGUCUUGGGCUUCCCCCUUUCUUCUGUCUUCUUGGGCUGCCCGGAAACCCCAAAAGGAUGGGGUUUAGGGGGGCUUUGGAUGGUCUGUCCAAUCUCCUCUGUGUCCGCCUCGGGUCCUGGAGGCAGAAAUUCCACCAAAAAGGCAGAGUGAGCUGAUGUCACAAUAGCCACAUCAAUGAAUGAUUUGUCAAGUUACAACAAAAAUGAAUAAGUCUACAAGGUCUCCUUGUUGCACCUAUCCGAUUGUGUUUUAUGUGUUUUCUGUUGCAGAUUUGACACAGAUUUGAUAUCUGCUUUUGUCUGCUCUGUUCUUGAAUAUAAAUGGGAAUUGCCCACACUUUAUGUUUACUCAGAAAUACACCAAAAAGAAACAUUAUUUAGGCUUGGGCCAACAUGCAGGCUACUAUUACUUUGAAGCUUCACAGAGGAGCCUGUGGAGCUCAGAGGAGAGACAAGGAUGUUUGUAACAAGUUCAUGUGGUACCCAGGUAAUAAUCUGGUAGUAAUCACUUCCACUCAGCCAUUCAGGCCCAUUCAUUGUUAUUGGUGUAAUGUAUCAUUUUGUAGCAUAAUUACAUAAAAAGCACAGAAAGAAUUUAAAAAGUACUCACCCCUUUGGAACUGUAUAUGUUUCUGGUUUGAUUUUUUUUUGUUGUUUUGUUUUUAUUUAGUUACAAGUUAAACAUGUAGAAAUCCCAGUUUGUGUCAAAAUAAAGUUUCAUUGA
Molecule: long non-coding RNA, 996 nt
Organism: Girardinichthys multiradiatus
Lineage: Eukaryota; Metazoa; Chordata; Actinopteri; Cyprinodontiformes; Goodeidae
Exons: 3
Source: RefSeq, a predicted model, not a curated record